GGUACUAUUCGAAUAAGCACCGGCUAACUCCGUCCAGCAGCCGCGGUAAUACGGAGGUGCGAGCGUUAUCCGGAAUUAUUGGGUUUAAAGGGUGCGUAGGCGGAAAUUUAAGUCAGUGGUGAAAGCCUGCAGCUUAACUGUAGAAUUGCCAUUGAUACUGGAUUACUUGAAUCUAAUAGAAGUAGGCGGAAUAUGACAUGUAGCGGUGAAAUGCUUAGAUAUGUCAUAGAACACCGAUAGCGAAGGCAGCUUACUAUGUUAGUAUUGACGCUAAUGCACGAAAGCGUGGGGAGCGAACAGGAUUAGAUACCCUGGUAGUCCACGCCGUAAACGAUGAUUACUCGCUAUUGGCGAUACACUGUCAGUGGCUAAGCGAAAGUGAUAAGUAAUCCACCUGGGGAGUACGAUCGCAAGGUUGAAACUCAAAGGAAUUGACGGGGGCCCGCACAAGCGGUGGAGCAUGUGGUUUAAUUCGAUGAUACGCGAGGAACCUUACCAGGUCUUAAAUGCAUAACGAACGAUUGGGAAACCAAUCUUUCUUCGGACGGAAUGCAAGGUGCUGCAUGGUUGUCGUCAGCUCGUGCCGUGAGGUGUCAGGUUAAGUCCUAUAACGAGCGCAACCCCUAUUCUUAGUUGCCAGCGGUUCGGCCGGGGACUCUAAGAAAACUGCCAGUGCAAGCUGUGAGGAAGGUGGGGAUGACGUCAAAUCAUCACGGCCCUUACGACCUGGGCCACACACGUGCUACAAUGGUAGGUACAAAGGGCAGCCACUUGGCGACAAGGAGCUAAUCUCUAAAACCUAUCUCAGUUCGGAUUGGAGUCUGAAACUCGACUCUAUGAAGCUGGAAUCGCUAGUAAUCGCGCAUCAGCCAUGGCGCGGUGAAUACGUUCCCGGGCCUUGUACACACCGCCCGUCAAGCCAUGGAAGCUGGGAGUACCUGAAGUCGGUAACCAUAUAGGAGCUGCCUAGGGUAAAACUAGUAACUGGGGCUAGUCGUAACAAGGUACCCGU
Molecule: ribosomal RNA, 1012 nt
Filed under: uncultured Bacteroidota bacterium
Lineage: Bacteria; Pseudomonadati; Bacteroidota
Description: bacterial SSU rRNA
Rfam family: Bacterial small subunit ribosomal RNA
Source: RNAcentral